CAAUAUAAUUAUCCAUUCAUCUUCUUCUAUCUCCAUCAACCUUUCUUCUUCUACUUGUUUGAAGACCACACAAAAGGAUGACAAUACACUAGGCAAGAAUUCAUCAAUUAACACUGUGUUAGGAGAAUCAAAGGGACCUCUUUUGCCUCAAGGGACUCCUUUGGUUUUUGAUGUAUAUCAUGGAUAUCAUCCUCAAGUUCCACUGUAAUCAACUUCUUCCCUUCAAUUUCAAGUGUAGCAAGAAUCUCACAUGACGUUAUGUUAUCACAAGUUUGAUAUUAUCUCUUUCUCUCGAUUCUUCUUGAUAUUUUUUUACGUAAAUAUUACUCAUAUUUUUUACAUUUUUCUCUUGUUAUUUUUAAGCAAAUAUUGCUCAUAAGUCAUAAUUCAUCAUAUUUUUUAUUGUUAUUCCUGAACAAGUAUUGUCCAUAUUUCAUCGUAUUCGAUUUUUCUCUCAUUCUCUAGCCAUGAAAUCAAUGUAGUAUUCUUUAGCAAUAAUAUCAUUUGAUCUUCUUUCCACUGUGUUGGUUCUUCAUGAACAACAUCAUUAUUUUUAAUUCAUUUUAUUCUAAGAAUUCAUUUU
Molecule: long non-coding RNA, 583 nt
Filed under: Lupinus angustifolius (narrow-leaved blue lupine)
Lineage: Eukaryota; Viridiplantae; Streptophyta; Magnoliopsida; Fabales; Fabaceae
Description: long non-coding RNA (LANG_LNC002610)
Source: RNAcentral